GUAGGUGGCAAGCGUUGUCCGGAAUUAUUGGGCGUAAAGCGCGCGCAGGGCGGUCCUUUAAGUCUGAUGUGAAAGCCCACGGCUCAACCGUGGAGGGUCAUUGGAAACUGGGGGACUUGAGUACAGAAGAGGAAAGCGGAAUUCCAAGUGUAGCGGUGAAAUGCGUAGAGAUUUGGAGGAACACCAGUGGCGAAGGCGGCUUUCUGGUCUGUAACUGACGCUGAGGCGCGAAAGCGUGGGGAGCAAACAGGAUUAGAUACCCUGGUAGUCCACGCCGUAAACGAUGAGUGCUAAGUGUAGGGGGUUUCCGCCCCUUAGUGCUGCAGCUAACGCAUUAAGCACUCCGCCUGGGGAGUACGGCCGCAAAGGCUG
RNAcentral lists this ribosomal RNA (372 nucleotides) under uncultured organism. Its description in RNAcentral is "partial 16S ribosomal RNA". It matches the Rfam family "Bacterial small subunit ribosomal RNA", at positions 527 to 896 of the family's 1533-position model. The record is from RNAcentral.